This 469-nucleotide ribosomal RNA is filed under the name uncultured bacterium. RNAcentral's name for it is "partial 16S ribosomal RNA". It matches the Rfam family "Bacterial small subunit ribosomal RNA", at positions 28 to 507 of the family's 1533-position model. The record is from RNAcentral.
GAUGAACGCUGGCGGCGUGCUUAACACAUGCAAGUCGAACGGUGAACACGGAGCUUGCUCUGUGGGAUCAGUGGCGAACGGGUGAGUAACACGUGAGCAACCUGCCCCUGACUCUGGGAUAAGCGCUGGAAACGGCGUCUAAUACUGGAUAUGUGACGUGACCGCAUGGUCUGCGUUUGGAAAGAUUUUUCGGUUGGGGAUGGGCUCGCGGCCUAUCAGCUUGUUGGUGAGGUAAUGGCUCACCAAGGCGUCGACGGGUAGCCGGCCUGAGAGGGUGACCGGCCACAAUGGGACUGAGACACGGCCCAGACUCCUACGGGAGGCAGCAGUGGGGAAUAUUGCACAAUGGGCGCAAGCCUGAUGCAGCAACGCCGCGUGAGGGAUGACGGCCUUCGGGUUGUAAACCUCUUUUAGCAGGGAAGAAGCGAAAGUGACGGUACCUGCAGAAAAAGCGCCGGCUAACUACGUG